RNAcentral lists this ribosomal RNA (678 nucleotides) under uncultured Atheliaceae. RNAcentral describes it as "eukaryotic LSU rRNA". The stretch from base 264 to 418 matches the Rfam family "5.8S ribosomal RNA". The record is from RNAcentral. Lineage: Eukaryota; Fungi; Basidiomycota; Agaricomycetes; Atheliales; Atheliaceae.
CUUGGUCAUUUAGAGGAAGUAAAAGUCGUAACAAGGUUUCCGUAGGUGAACCUGCGGAAGGAUCAUUAUCGAAAUUAUUGGUGAGGGUUGUAGCUGGCCUUUCGAGGCAUGUGCACGCUCGAGCCCUUAAUCCACUUUACACCUGUGCACUUAAUGUAGGUCGCCCUUAAAAAAGGUGACCUAUGUCUUAUCAUCAACCCAUCGUAUGUCUCAUAGAAUGUAAUCGAUAUCCUCGCCCUAAAAAAGCGUUGAUAAACUUAUACAACUUUCAACAACGGAUCUCUUGGCUCUCGCAUCGAUGAAGAACGCAGCGAAAUGCGAUAAGUAAUGUGAAUUGCAGAUUUUCAGUGAAUCAUCGAAUCUUUGAACGCACCUUGCGCUCCUUGGUAUUCCGAGGAGCAUGCCUGUUUGAGUGUCAUUAAAUUCUCAACUCCAAGGGUUUCACGACCUUUCGGAGAUUGGACUUGGAGGUGCUGGCCGCAUAUUGGUCGGCUCCUCUCAAAUGCAUCAGCGGAAUUCAACCUUUGGCUUCCGGAUGUCAGUGUGAUAAUCAUGUUGCGCUGUCGUUUGAUCCCUCAGAGUCCGCUUAUAAUGGUCUUCGGACAAAAUCAUCAUCAAACUUGACCUCAAAUCAGGUAGGACUACCCGCUGAACUUAAGCAUAUCAAUAAGCGGAGGA